ACAUGGGAAGCUGAAGAAGAUAUGAAGGCUAACUAUCCUCAUCUAUUUAUGCCUUCUGAUGACGAUAUUCAAGAUACAGGUGUUAGAGAUCCUCAACAGGCGCAUCGUUGAAGAUCAUUUCUUUUCAGCUAUUUGGUGAGUCCUUCUUGUAUUCGAAGGAACUCCUUAUCCUUUUAUUAUUGUUGAGUGUGAUGUUUCUUUUGAGGUAGCCAUGGACAUGUCAUUGGCACCAUCUAAGAGUAUUAGAGGCUUCAUAGACAGAGUCUGAUGAUGUAAUCGGAGUAGUUCUCCUUAGAAACUACUUCUUAUAAAAGUUAUCUAUUUUUCCUUUGA
Long non-coding RNA from Solanum dulcamara, 333 nucleotides. RefSeq lists it as uncharacterized. Lineage: Eukaryota; Viridiplantae; Streptophyta; Magnoliopsida; Solanales; Solanaceae. The transcript has 2 exons. The record is from RefSeq and is a predicted model, not a curated record.